RNAcentral lists this ribosomal RNA (404 nucleotides) under uncultured prokaryote. RNAcentral's name for it is "bacterial SSU rRNA". It matches the Rfam family "Bacterial small subunit ribosomal RNA", at positions 355 to 776 of the family's 1533-position model. RNAcentral also lists the same sequence under 1 other name. The record is from RNAcentral.
UGGGGAAUAUUGCACAAUGGGGGAAACCUUGAUGCAGCAACGCCGCGUGAGUGAAGGAGGCCUUCGGGUUGUAAAGCUCUGUUAUACGGGAAGAUAAUGACUGUACCGUAUGAGGAAGCCACGGCUAACUACGUGCCAGCAGCCGCGGUAAUACGUAGGUGGCGAGCGUUGUCCGGAUUUACUGGGCGUAAAGGAUGCGUAGGCGGAUAAUUAAGUGAGAUGUGAAAUACCCGGGCUUAACCUGGGGGGUGCAUUUCAAACUGGUUGUCUAGAGUACAGGAGAGGAAAGUGGAAUUUCUAGUGUAGCGGUGAAAUGCGUAGAUAUUAGGAAGAACACCAGUGGCGAAGGCGGCUUUCUGGACUGUUACAGACGCUGAGGCAUGAAAGCAUGGGUAGCGAACAGG